This 216-nucleotide ribosomal RNA is filed under the name Glomeromycotina sp. RNAcentral's name for it is "partial small subunit ribosomal RNA". The stretch from base 40 to 216 matches the Rfam family "Eukaryotic small subunit ribosomal RNA", at positions 686 to 864 of the family's 1831-position model. The record is from RNAcentral. Lineage: Eukaryota; Fungi; Glomeromycota.
GGGUCAGUAGGUUGGUCGUGCCACCGGUACGUACUGGUCUCACUGAUUCCUCCUUCCUGAAGAACCGUAAUGCCAUUAAUUUGGUGUUGCGGGGAAACAGGACUGUUACUUUGAAAAAAUAAGAGUGUUUAAAGCAAGCUAACGCUUGAAUACAUUAGCAUGGAAUAAUGAAAUAGGACGAUCGAUCCUAUUUUGUUGGCUUCUAGGAUUGACGUA